CGCGGCCUAUCAGCUUGUUGGUGAGGUUAUGGCUUACCAAGGCGACGACGGGUAGCCGGCCUGAGAGGGUGUCCGGCCACACUGGGACUGAGAUACGGCCCAGACUCCUACGGGAGGCUGCAGUGGGGAAUAUUGCACAAUGGGCGCAAGCCUGAUGCAGCGACGCCGCGUGGGGGAUGACGGCUUUCGGGUUGUAAACCUCUUUCAGCUAUGACGAAGCGCAAGUGACGGUAGUAGCAGAAGAAGCACCGGCCAACUACGUGCCAGCAGCCGCGGUAAUACGUAGGGUGCGAGCGUUGUCCGGAAUUACUGGGCGUAAAGAGCUCGUAGGUGGUUUGUCGCGUUGUUCGUGAAAACCUGAGGCUUAACCUUGGGCGUGCGGGCGAUACGGGCAGACUGGAGUACUGCAGGGGAGACUGGAAUUCCUGGUGUAGCGGUGGAAUGCGCAGAUAUCAGGAGGAACACCGGUGGCGAAGGCGGGUCUCUGGGCAGUAACUGACGCUGAGGAGCGAAAGCGUGCGGAGCGAACAGGAUUAGAUACCCUGGUGGUCCGCGCCGUAAACGGUGGGUACUAGGUGUGGGUUUCCUUCCUUGGGAUCCGUGCCGUAGCUAACGCAUUAAGUACCCCGCCUGGGGAGUACGG
RNAcentral lists this ribosomal RNA (643 nucleotides) under uncultured Actinomycetes bacterium. RNAcentral's name for it is "bacterial SSU rRNA". It matches the Rfam family "Bacterial small subunit ribosomal RNA", at positions 232 to 885 of the family's 1533-position model. The record is from RNAcentral. Lineage: Bacteria; Bacillati; Actinomycetota; Actinomycetes.